ACAGAGGUCCCAAGCGUUGUUCGGAUUCACUGGGCGUAAAGGGUGCGUAGGUGGUCAGGCAAGUCUAACGUGAAAUCCCAGGGCUUAACCCUGGAACUGCGUCGGAUACUGCCUGGCUUGAGGGUUGGAGGGGGGACUGGAAUUCUUGGUGUAGCAGUGAAAUGCGUAGAUAUCAAGAGGAACACCAGUGGCGAAGGCGAGUCCCUGGACAACUCCUGACACUGAGGCACGAAAGCUAGGGGAGCAAACAGGAUUAGAUACCCUGGUAGUCCUAGCUGUAAACGGUGCACAUUUGCUGUAAGCGGAAUCGACCCCGCUUGUGGCGAAGCUAACGCGUUAAAUGUGCCGCCUGGGAAGUACGGUCGCAAGAUUA
RNAcentral lists this ribosomal RNA (373 nucleotides) under uncultured bacterium. RNAcentral's name for it is "bacterial SSU rRNA". It matches the Rfam family "Bacterial small subunit ribosomal RNA", at positions 525 to 896 of the family's 1533-position model. The record is from RNAcentral.